UUAGUUUUAGGAACUAAGUCAUAAUUUGGCCUGUCCUUGGCAACCAAAGUCUGUUGUCAAUUGCUUAAUCAAAGCAUUGUAUUUCCUUUUUUGUGUAAUCCUUCUUAUGGGUUUAUGGUAUGGGGUGGUUACAUACAUUUUCACUUGUUGAUACAUAUAAAUGCAUGUUCACUUAUGCUUUCUUUCUGAAAUUCUGUGAGAUUCGAUAUUUCAAAUGGCAUCUAAUGGUUAAACUGAAAUUUCAGGUAAGGAUUUGGCCACAAUUCAACGAUGGUGGGACUUUGGAUUACCACCCAGUGGUGAUGGUGAUGGCGAUGAUGAUGGUGGUGGUUGUGGUGGAGGUAACUGUUCAAGUGGAUUAAUUCUUUAAGGAUAAGGAAAGUGAGAUGCCUUAUAGUUACAAGAGGAGAAAAUGAAAGAAUGAUCGAUUUAUAUAUAUAUAUAUAUAUAACAAAUUAGAUAACUGGUACUAAUAACGUUCUUUGUACGGAUUGGGGAAUGUCCUCAAUUGUUUUUGUUCAGAUCUGGAAACCAGAUACAUCAUCCACAAGAGCCUCUACUACCAGAGACAUAAGACUCUCUUUUCAAGCUAUAGUAUCUAAGAACCUUAGCAUACAAUGUUGUCAAAUUUUGUUCCAUAUUUCUAAUGUGGAAUUUUCCAAUUUUCUUUUGUGGGAGAGAAGAAUCAUUAUAGGAGUCUGUUUCCUUCCUCGGAACUUUUAAUUUUCAGGUUGCAACUGACAAAAUAUGAAUGAAAAUGUGGAGAAAAAGCCUCCAAAGAUCAACCUAAAGCAGAUAAAAUAGAUGAUAAAGAGAGCAGAAUUUAGUUUGGUUGAUUUAAAGCAUUCUCACUUACUUGUGUCACAAAAUUCACAAGGGAGCUAAGGCAAAGUGUAAGGGGGGAAGAACUCUCUUUGCUUGCCGACAACACAUGUGAGGUCCUUCCGUUGUCAACACCAUCAGAAUUCUAGCCUGCCCCGUGGAGGUACCAAUGGUACCAACCUCUCUGCAUCAGUGACUCACUCCAAGCUCAGUUGCUCUCUAUUUCACAUGGGGAUUAAACCAAUGGCACAGUUGUUUUAUAUUCAUAAUUCUCCUAUUUUUUACUAUGAGAAUGUACUCACAUGUGAAUUUCUUUCAUCUUCUAAUCAAUUGAUAUUCUCAUCAA
Quercus robur (English oak) is the source of this 1168-nucleotide long non-coding RNA. RefSeq lists it as uncharacterized. The transcript is spliced from 2 exons. The record is from RefSeq and is a predicted model, not a curated record. NCBI's taxonomy places the organism in Eukaryota, Viridiplantae, Streptophyta, Magnoliopsida, Fagales, Fagaceae.